RNAcentral lists this ribosomal RNA (408 nucleotides) under uncultured bacterium. RNAcentral's name for it is "partial 16S ribosomal RNA". It matches the Rfam family "Bacterial small subunit ribosomal RNA", at positions 29 to 526 of the family's 1533-position model. The record is from RNAcentral.
AGUGAACGCUGGCGGCGUGCCUAACACAUGCAAGUCGAACGGAAUGGCGCACGGGUGAGUAAUGUAUGGCUAAUCUACCCUACGCUAGAGGACAACAACUGGAAACGACUGCUAAUACUCUCUAGUGUAGGUUGAGGCUAUAUUGUCUCAGCUAGUUGGUGAGGUAAUGGCUAACCAAGGGUAUGACGCAUCACUGGUCUGAGAGGAUGAGCAGUAGCACUGUAACUGAGACACGGUUCGGACUCCUACGGGAGGGAGCAGUAGGGUAUAUUGCCCAAGGGGGGAGUACCUGGAGGAGCUACGCCGCGUGGAGGAUGACACUUUUCGGAGCGUAGACUCCAUUUGUUAGGGAUGCGGUACCUAACGAAUAAGCACCGGCUAACUCCGUGCCAGCAGCCGCGGUAAUUC